GCCGAUGUGGUGGAACUGGUAGACACGCAGCGUUCAGGGCGCUGUGAGCGUAAGCUCAUGAGAGUUCGAAUCUCUCCAUCGGCA
RNAcentral lists this transfer RNA (84 nucleotides) under Patescibacteria group bacterium. RNAcentral's name for it is "tRNA-Leu". It matches the Rfam family "tRNA". From Rfam's summary of the family: Transfer RNA (tRNA) molecules are approximately 80 nucleotides in length. Their secondary structure includes four short double-helical elements and three loops (D, anti-codon, and T loops). Further hydrogen bonds mediate the characteristic L-shaped molecular structure. tRNAs have two regions of fundamental functional importance: the anti-codon, which is responsible for specific mRNA codon recognition, and the 3' end, to which the tRNAs corresponding amino acid is attached (by aminoacyl-tRNA synthetases). tRNAs cope with the degeneracy of the genetic code in two manners: having more than one tRNA (with a specific anti-codon) for a particular amino acid; and 'wobble' base-pairing, i.e. permitting non-standard base-pairing at the 3rd anti-codon position. RNAcentral also lists the same sequence under 1 other name. The record is from RNAcentral.